AUUGAACGCUGGCGGCAUGCUUUACACAUGCAAGUCGAACGGUAACAGGCGGCGAGUUCCUGACUAGUGGCAGACGGGGGCGUAAUGCAACGGAAUGUGCCCCGUCCUUGUGGGUAACUACUCACAAGGGUAAAUAAUACCUCAUACCGUCUAAGAUUUAGAACGGGAGGCCUCAAGACUGCGCGCGGUUGUAGCUGCCGCUGUUAGAUUAGGUAGUUGGUGGGGUAAAGGCUGACCAAGGCAACGAUCUGUAGCUGGUCUGAGAGGACGAGCAGCCACACUGGAACUGAGACACGGCCCAGACUCCUACGGGAGGCAGCAGUGGGGAAUUUUGGACAAUGGGCGAAAGCCUGAUCGAGCAAUGCCGCGUGCAGGAAGAAGGCCUUCGGGUUGUAAAAUGCUUUUGUAAGGAACGAAACGGCUCUGAUUAAUACGCGGAGCUAAUGACGGUACCGUAAGAGUAAGCACCGGCUAACUACGUG
RNAcentral lists this ribosomal RNA (482 nucleotides) under uncultured bacterium. Its description in RNAcentral is "partial 16S ribosomal RNA". It matches the Rfam family "Bacterial small subunit ribosomal RNA", at positions 30 to 507 of the family's 1533-position model. The record is from RNAcentral.